This 410-nucleotide long non-coding RNA is filed under the name Drosophila guanche. The record is from RNAcentral. Lineage: Eukaryota; Metazoa; Arthropoda; Insecta; Diptera; Drosophilidae.
CUUAUUUAUGGCUUUAAUGUCCUAUAAUUUUGCAUUGAUUUCCAUUUACCUUUCCGAUUUAUAGCUCAAGGGUUAGCCAUUUCAUUCCUUACUAGGCUUUUACUUUUACAUCUAAACUCAACAUAAACGAGUAGGGACGUUUGUGAAACGCUUCGUACGCGUCACAGCGCAGUUCCGUAGAGAACGGAUAUAUCUAUUAGAUCCCCGAAUUACGAUCAGAUGUCCAUCCAGCAGUAAUUUUUAUUUUUUGCUCAUUCUCGUUCGCGCACUCUUCCACAAGCGGUGUGUGGUACUUGGGAAAGGAAGGCAGGGAAAGGGAGGAAGUGAAAUAAAUGUAAAUGACAAAUGUAGGAAAAAUUUAAAAUUUGAAAUUCGAAAAAAACAAAUUUAAAUACAUGUGAUGUAUGUAC